Molecule: ribosomal RNA, 833 nt
Filed under: uncultured bacterium
Lineage: Bacteria
Description: bacterial SSU rRNA
Rfam family: Bacterial small subunit ribosomal RNA
Source: RNAcentral
AGCGUGUAGGCGGAUUGAUAAGUUUGAAGUGAAAUCCUAUAGCUUAACUAUAGAACUGCUUUGAAAACUGUUAAUCUAGAAUGUGGGAGAGGUAGAUGGAAUUUCUGGUGUAGGGGUAAAAUCCGUAGAGAUCAGAAGGAAUACCGAUUGCGAAGGCGAUCUACUGGAACAAUAUUGACGCUGAGACGCGAAAGCGUGGGGAGCAAACAGGAUUAGAUACCCUGGUAGUCCACGCCCUAAACGAUGUACACUAGUUGUUGUGAGGCUCGACCUUGCAGUAAUGCAGUUAACACAUUAAGUGUACCGCCUGGGGAGUACGGUCGCAAGAUUAAAACUCAAAGGAAUAGACGGGGACCCGCACAAGCGGUGGAGCAUGUGGUUUAAUUCGACGAUACACGAAGAACCUUACCUGGACUUGACAUAGUAAGAAUGAUUUAGAGAUAGAUUAGUGUCUGCUUGCAGAAACUUGCAUACAGGUGCUGCACGGCUGUCGUCAGCUCGUGUCGUGAGAUGUUGGGUUAAGUCCCGCAACGAGCGCAACCCUCGUCCUUAGUUGCUAACAGUUCGGCUGAGAACUCUAAGGAGACUGCCUACGCAAGUAGGAGGAAGGUGAGGAUGACGUCAAGUCAUCAUGGCCCUUACGUCCAGGGCUACACACGUGCUACAAUGGGGUAUACAAAGAGCAGCAAUACGGUGACGUGGAGCAAAUCUCAUAAAUGCCUCCCAGUUCGGAUUGUAGUCUGCAACUCGACUACAUGAAGUUGGAAUCGCUAGUAAUCGUAGAUCAGUUAUGCUACGGUGAAUACGUUCCCGGGUCUUGUACUCACCGCCCG